CAUGUCUAAGUAUAAGCAAUUAUACCGUGAAACUGCGAAUGGCUCAUUAAAUCAGUUAUCGUUUAUUUGAUAGUACCUUACUACUUGGAUAACCGUGGUAAUUCUAGAGCUAAUACAUGCUAAAAACCCCGACUUCGGGAGGGGUGUAUUUAUUAGAUAAAAAACCAAUGCCCUUCUGGGCUCCUUGGUGAUUCAUGAUAACUUAACGGAUCGCAUGGCCUUGCGCCGGCGACGGUUCAUUCAAAUUUCUGCCCUAUCAACUUUCGAUGGUAAGGUAUUGGCUUACCAUGGUUUCAACGGGUAACGGGGAAUUAGGGUUCGAUUCCGGAGAGGGAGCCUGAGAAACGGCUACCACAUCCAAGGAAGGCAGCAGGCGCGCAAAUUACCCAAUCCCGACACGGGGAGGUAGUGACAAUAAAUACUGAUACAGGGCUCUUUUGGGUCUUGUAAUCGGAAUGAGUACAAUUUAAACCCCUUAACGAGGAACAAUUGGAGGGCAAGUCUGGUGCCAGCAGCCGCGGUAAUUCCAGCUCCAAUAGCGUAUAUUAAAGUUGUUGCAGUUAAAAAGCUCGUAGUUGAACCUUGGGCCUGGCUGGCCGGUCCGCCUCACCGCGUGUACUGGUCCGGCCGGGCCUUUCCUUCUGGUGAGCCUCAUGCCCUUCACUGGGUGUGCUGGGGAACCAGGACUUUUACUGUGAACAAAUUAGAGUGUUCAAAGCAGGCCUUUGCUCGAAUACAUUAGCAUGGAAUAAUAGAAUAGGACGUGCGGUCCUAUUUUGUUGGUUUCUAGGACCGCCGUAAUGAUUAAUAGGGAUAGUCGGGGGCAUCAGUAUUCAAUUGUCAGAGGUGAAAUUCUUGGAUUUAUUGAAGACUAACUACUGCGAAAGCAUUUGCCAAGGAUGUUUUCAUUAAUCAGUGAACGAAAGUUAGGGGAUCGAAGACGAUCAGAUACCGUCGUAGUCUUAACCGUAAACUAUGCCGACUAGGGAUCGGGCGAUGUUUCUAUCUUGACUCGCUCGGCACCUUACGAGAAAUCAAAGUUUU
Molecule: ribosomal RNA, 1044 nt
Filed under: Neooccultibambusa trachycarpi
Lineage: Eukaryota; Fungi; Ascomycota; Dothideomycetes; Pleosporales; Occultibambusaceae
Description: SSU rRNA
Rfam family: Eukaryotic small subunit ribosomal RNA
Source: RNAcentral